RNAcentral lists this long non-coding RNA (764 nucleotides) under Androctonus crassicauda. The record is from RNAcentral. Lineage: Eukaryota; Metazoa; Arthropoda; Arachnida; Scorpiones; Buthidae.
CUAUUAGAUUACUUAGAGAGACUAAGUUGAUUGAAAAUGAUAUUGAUGGUAAGAUUGAGAAUAUUGUUGGAUUAAUAGAUUCUAUUAAUGUAAAGUGUGACGAUCUAAAGUAUAACUUUAAUACAUUUUAUUCCGAUAUGUAUAAUAGACAACUUGAUUUUAAGGAAGAUUUGCUUGUUAACUCAACUGUACAUGCUAAUAAUCCUUCUUCUGGGCUACUAAAUAAUGUAUUUAAUAGUGGAAAACAACUGCAUUGUCAUAAAAUUGAUAAUUUAAUUAAUUCUGAUCUAAAUAAUAAUAAUGGGGAUGAUCAUUUGAAUCAUUUGAGGGAUAAUAUAAAUGUAACGUAACUGGUUGAUAACGAUAUUGCAUUUGUAGAGAAUUGUGCUACUAAUACAGGAGAGACUAUUAGACAGGAUUAGGAUGGAACUGUUACUCUUGCUCCUAAACAAAAUUGGACAGGGUUGAUUUGUUUUAAGUUUAUUGAUGAUAGAUCUUCUUUAAUAAAAACUUCUGAAUUGGAGAAUGAAGAAUGACUUGAAAACUUAGUUGUCAUGAUAUCUCUUGUGAGAUUCAUGGAGCAUCUCCUCCAGUAUUGGUUCCAGCAUGGAAUAAUUUUCAAGCUAACUACGAAAAGUUAUUUAUAUCUCAAGAUUAUCUCCCAAGACAACAAUGGACAAAAUUAAAAAAUUUAUUCAUUAUUAGUUUAAGACUGGUACAGACUCGAUUCCGUAAUAGCCGCUUUAAGGCAUAUCCUCUUGGUG